UACGUAGGGGGCAAGCGUUAUUCGGAAUUAUUGGGCGUAAAGGGCGCGUAGGCGGCUAGAUGUGUCAAAGGUGAAAUCCCUCGGCUCAACUGAGGAACUGCCUUUGAAACUGUCUGGCUUGAGGCCGGGAGAGGGUAGCGGAAUUCCCAGUGUAGCGGUGAAAUGCGUAGAUAUUGGGAGGAACACCAGUGGCGAAGGCGGCUACCUGGACCGGUUCUGACGCUGAGGCGCGAAAGCGUGGGUAGCAAACAGG
RNAcentral lists this ribosomal RNA (253 nucleotides) under uncultured bacterium. RNAcentral's name for it is "partial 16S ribosomal RNA". It matches the Rfam family "Bacterial small subunit ribosomal RNA", at positions 524 to 776 of the family's 1533-position model. The record is from RNAcentral.